UUUAAUGAGGUGUUAAUAAGCAUAUUGUAAUUUGGUUACAAUGGGGAUUAGUUAUCCAUUAAA
RNAcentral lists this transfer RNA (63 nucleotides) under Cladotaenia vulturi. Its description in RNAcentral is "tRNA-Gln". The record is from RNAcentral. Lineage: Eukaryota; Metazoa; Platyhelminthes; Cestoda; Cyclophyllidea; Paruterinidae.